CCCUUAGAUGUUCUGGGCCGCACGCGCGCUACACUGAGUGGAUCAGCGGGUCAGGUUGCGCGAAAGCGUUUCCUAAUCUUGAAAUCCGCUCGUGAUGGGGAUUGACGGUUGCAAUUUUCUGUCAUGAACGAGGAAUACCUUGUAAGCGCGAGUCAUCAUCCCGCGCUGAAUACGUCCCUGCCCUUUGUACACACCGCCCGUCGCUCCUACCGAUUGAGUGGUCCGGUGAGGCUUUGGGAUCUGAGCGGAAAGAGCGUUUCGCUCGUUCUGCCCGGAAAACUCAGUCGAACCUUAUCAUUUAGAGGAAGGAGAAGUCGUAACA
This 322-nucleotide ribosomal RNA is filed under the name uncultured eukaryote. RNAcentral's name for it is "partial 18S ribosomal RNA". It matches the Rfam family "Eukaryotic small subunit ribosomal RNA", at positions 1470 to 1796 of the family's 1831-position model. The record is from RNAcentral.